ACAGAGAUAUGUCAAAAGCAUUUUUAAAAAUGAUUACUGAAAAGUUAUAAUGUUUUAAUUGUAUAAAUUUUGUUUUAAUUUCAGAUUUUCCUGAUUAUGCCAGAGUACCAGAUAAGUGGUAAGUCUCCAUUUGAAUGACGUGGAAGUCAUUUAAAAAGGAGGGGAAGUGUGUUACAGUAUUAGAUUUAUUAAUUUAUUUAAUAAAUCUAUAAUGUAUUUCAUAUGUUUUUAAAUUGUAAAUAUAAAUGCAUUAUUAAAUCUUUAAAGGUCACCCAAGUAGAACAGGCAGUACCUGUACUUAAUUAUUAUUGCCUUGGGUUAUGAAGGUUCUGGUCUUUGGUCUUUGGUUUGAAGUAUUCACUGUUUUCAUUGGUUUGGACUUUGUAAGGUUGUGUUUUAUUGGUUCAGUAUUUUUCCCUCCAAAAAGUUGUUUGUUAUGGUCAUUCUUUGUCCAGUAUUUGUCCAGAGAGGGUUGUAUUUACGAAGUUUUAUAAUUACGACCUUCUGACAUUGACAGAGACAAUACUUUUCUCUCUUAAGUUUUAUGAUCUGGACAUACGUGUACAGUGAGCCAUAUUGUGACUACAAUGAAUGGGAGAGGCUCAGUCCCAUAGAUUGGGCAUUAUUCCAAAUUCCUUCAUUGUUCCAUUAUUCCAACUAUUCUAUGUGUUCAUCUGUGAAUGUAAUAAAUGGAGAUGUCAGUAGAACCCUGAAACGGACUUAUUUAUAUUUCCAUGCUCAAGAUUUAUAAUAAGACACCG
Long non-coding RNA from Saccostrea echinata, 761 nucleotides. RefSeq lists it as uncharacterized. The transcript has 3 exons. The record is from RefSeq and is a predicted model, not a curated record. Lineage: Eukaryota; Metazoa; Mollusca; Bivalvia; Ostreida; Ostreidae.